Molecule: long non-coding RNA, 526 nt
Organism: Hirundo rustica (Barn swallow)
Lineage: Eukaryota; Metazoa; Chordata; Aves; Passeriformes; Hirundinidae
Exons: 3
Source: RefSeq, a predicted model, not a curated record
GUUGAGCACUGAAAAUGCCUGGAAUUGCCAAACUGAGCUUUUGUAUGAGCAGCGUAAGGGCUACUCGGUGCACGCAGAGCCGCGGGGCUGCACGGAAUAGCCGGACGGAAAGUAGCCUGGAUGUCUUGGCGUUAGUAGCCACGUCGCUUUGUUCGUGGACACUCCGAGGAGCAGAUCCCUGCCCUGUGGCACGGGGAGGAUCAGGCUCUAAUAAGGUGUUGGAAUGAUCGUCCUGUUGUUCCUUGAGUGGCUUUCCAGACAUGUGGAGAGAAGCAGACACUUCCAGAGCGGAGCUGGGAAGGAGGUGAAAUGGCUUUCCUUGCACAGAAAGGACCUGCGGAGCAGCCAGUGCCUGGAUAAGGCUCAUCCCAGUGCCUGGAUAAGGCUCAUCCCUGGAUAAGGAUCAUCCCAGUGCCUUAGGCUGCCACGGUCCCAAGCUGUCCUUGAGGCUGAGGUAGUAGAUUGAAUAGUUGUGGAGUCCGGUCCUCCCUCUGAGCUAACUAUACAAUCUACUGUCUUUCCUAAG